CCCUUAGAUGUUCUGGGCCGCCCGCGCGCUACACUGAUGCAUUCAACGAGUUUCUUCCUGGUCCGAGAGGAAUGGGUAACCUUUUGAAAGUGCAUCGUGAUAGGGAUAGACUAUUGCAAUUAUUGGUCUUCAACGAGGAAUUCCUAGUAGACGUAGUUCAUCAGACUGCAUCGAUUACGUCCCUGCCCUUUGUACACACCGCCCGUCGCUCCUACCGAUUGAAUGCUCAGGUGAGCCAUUCGGACUUUCAUCAUGCUGGUUUCCAGUUUUGAUGAAGGAAAGUCUUGCGAACCUUAUCAUUUAGAGGAAGGAGAAGUCGUAACA
RNAcentral lists this ribosomal RNA (324 nucleotides) under uncultured eukaryote. RNAcentral's name for it is "partial 18S ribosomal RNA". It matches the Rfam family "Eukaryotic small subunit ribosomal RNA", at positions 1470 to 1796 of the family's 1831-position model. The record is from RNAcentral.